Molecule: ribosomal RNA, 495 nt
Filed under: uncultured bacterium
Lineage: Bacteria
Description: partial 16S ribosomal RNA
Rfam family: Bacterial small subunit ribosomal RNA
Source: RNAcentral
GACGAACGCUGGCGGCGUGCCUAAUACAUGCAAGUAGAACGCUGAAGGAGGAGCUUGCUUCUCUGGAUGAGUUGCGAACGGGUGAGUAACGCGUAGGUAACCUGCCUGGUAGCGGGGGAUAACUAUUGGAAACGAUAGCUAAUACCGCAUAAGAGUAGGUGUUGCAUGACAUUUACUUAAAAGGUGCAAUUGCAUCACUACCAGAUGGACCUGCGUUGUAUUAGCUAGUUGGUGAGGUAACGGCUCACCAAGGCAACGAUACAUAGCCGACCUGAGAGGGGGAUCGGCCACACUGGGACUGAGACACGGCCCAGACUCCUACGGGAGGCAGCAGGAGGGAAGCUUCGGCAAUGGACGGAAGUCUGACCGAGCAACGCCGCGUGAGUGAAGAAGGUUUUCGGAUCGUAAAGCUCUGUUGUAAGAGAAGAACGAGUGUGAGAGUGGAAAGUUCACACUGUGACGGUAUCUUACCAGAAAGGGACGGCUAACUACGUG